UACGUAGGGUGCAAGCGUUAAUCGGAAUUACUGGGCGUAAAGCGCGCGCAGGUGGCUUGCUAAGUCGGACGGUGAAAUCUCCCGGCCUAACUGGGAGGGGUCGUCCGAGACUGGCCGGCUUGAGGCUGGCAGAGGUAGGUGGAAUUCCUGGUGUAGUGGUGAAAUGCGUUGAUAUCGUACAGGAACUCCGGUGGCGAAAGCGGCGUGCUGGACCUUUUCUGACGCGUGAGGCGCGAAAGCUAGGGGAGCAAACGGG
This 256-nucleotide ribosomal RNA is filed under the name uncultured bacterium. Its description in RNAcentral is "partial 16S ribosomal RNA". It matches the Rfam family "Bacterial small subunit ribosomal RNA", at positions 524 to 776 of the family's 1533-position model. The record is from RNAcentral.